UACGUAGGUGGCAAGCGUUGUCCGGAUUUACUGGGCGUAAAGAGCGCGCAGGCGGUCGGAUAAGUCGAAUGUGAAAGCCCCCGGCUCAACUGGGGAGGGUCAUUCGAUACUGUUCGACUCGAAGGCAGGAGAGGGAAGUGGAAUUCCCGGUGUAGUGGUGAAAUGCGUAGAUAUCGGGAGGAAUACCGAUGGCGAAGGCAGGUCUCUGGGCUGACACUGACGCUCAUGCACGAAAGCGUGGGGAGCAAACAGG
This 253-nucleotide ribosomal RNA is filed under the name uncultured bacterium. RNAcentral's name for it is "partial 16S ribosomal RNA". It matches the Rfam family "Bacterial small subunit ribosomal RNA", at positions 524 to 776 of the family's 1533-position model. The record is from RNAcentral.